This 407-nucleotide ribosomal RNA is filed under the name uncultured bacterium. RNAcentral describes it as "partial 16S ribosomal RNA". It matches the Rfam family "Bacterial small subunit ribosomal RNA", at positions 29 to 526 of the family's 1533-position model. The record is from RNAcentral.
AUUGAACGCUGGCGGCAGGCCUAACACAUGCAAGUCGAGCGGAUCGGCGGACGGGUAAGUAAUGCCUAGGACUCGGCCUGGUAGUGGGGGAUAACGUCCAGAAACGGGCGCUAAUACCGCAUCCUAUCAGAUGAGCCUAGGUCGGAUUGGCUAGUAGGUGGGGUAACGGCGCACCUAGGCGACGAUCCCUAGCUGGUCGGAGAGGAUGACCAGCCACACUGGAACUGAGACACGGUCCAGACUCCUACGGGAGGCAGCAGUGGGGAAUAUUGCACAAUGGGCGAAAGCCUGAUGCAGCCAUGCCGCGUGUGUGAAGAAGGCCUUCGGGUUGUAAAGCACUUUAAGCGGGGAGGCGUUACCCGCAGAAGAAGCACCGGCUAACUCCGUGCCAGCAGCCGCGGUAAUUC